AGGGUUUGAUCAUGGCUCAGGAUGAACGCUGGCGGCGUGCUUAACACAUGCAAGUCGAACGAUGAUGGGAGCUUGCUCCUGGAUUAGUGGCGAACGGGUGAGUAACACGUGAGUAACCUGCCCUUAACUCUGGGAUAAGCCUGGGAAACUGGGUCUAAUACCGGAUAUGACUCCUCAUCGCAUGGUGGGGGGUGGAAAGCUUUAUUGUGGUUUUGGAUGGACUCGCGGCCUAUCAGCUUGUUGGUGAGGUAAUGGCUUACCAAGGCGACGACGGGUAGCCGGCCUGAGAGGGUGACCGGCCACACUGGGACUGAGACACGGCCCAGACUCCUACGGGAGGCAGCAGUGGGGAAUAUUGCACAAUGGGCGCAAGCCUGAUGCAGCGACGCCGCGUGAGGGAUGACGGCCUUCGGGUUGUAAACCUCUUUCAGUAGGGAAGAAGCGAAAGUGACGGUACCUGCAGAAGAAGCGCCGGCUAACUACGUGCCAGCAGCCGCGGUAAUACGUAGGGCGCAAGCGUUAUCCGGAAUUAUUGGGCGUAAAGAGCUCGUAGGCGGUUUGUCGCGUCUGCCGUGAAAGUCCGGGGCUCAACUCCGGAUCUGCGGUGGGUACGGGCAGACUAGAGCGAUGUAGGGGAGACUGGAAUUCCUGGUGUAGCGGUGAAAUGCGCAGAUAUCAGGAGGAACACCGAUGGCGAAGGCAGGUCUCUGGGCAUUAACUGACGCUGAGGAGCGAAAGCAUGGGGAGCGAACAGGAUUAGAUACCCUGGUAGUCCAUGCCGUAAAC
Molecule: ribosomal RNA, 786 nt
Filed under: uncultured Actinobacteridae bacterium
Lineage: Bacteria; Bacillati; Actinomycetota; Actinomycetes
Description: bacterial SSU rRNA
Rfam family: Bacterial small subunit ribosomal RNA
Source: RNAcentral